This 5216-nucleotide long non-coding RNA is filed under the name Brassica napus (rape). RNAcentral describes it as "long non-coding RNA (BNAP_LNC006918)". Lineage: Eukaryota; Viridiplantae; Streptophyta; Magnoliopsida; Brassicales; Brassicaceae. The record is from RNAcentral.
UCCACAUUUGUCGCGGUUCCUCCAGCUGUCGGCCAACCACUCUCCGAGACCACAAUCUCCACCGAUCCUCCUCCUGUUUUCUCCAAUGCCGCAUAAACAGUGUCUACGAGUGCGUGGAAGAGGUUUCGGUAUGCGUUUGACCCAUCAUUGACUACAGUGGACGGUGAAGUGAACAGAGCAUAGUCCAAACGGAUGUCUCUCAUGUUGUUGAUGUAGCUGAAGUAAGGGUAGACAUUCACGAGUAGUGGAGAUUGCUUGCUCACCAAGAAAGCUAUCACGGGAGCGAUAAAGUUUCUAAAUUCAGGUGUGAAUGUCCCACUCGAAGGAGGAAACCCACUAAUGCCUCUGGUGUCUAUAGCCGUGGAGACCUUGAUCCCGAGGCCUGAAACCGCUCUAUCGAUGUUCUGCAUGGCGGGGAGGACGAACCUCGAGGUUGGGUCCGAGGGUUGCACCUCGUUCCCGACCGAGAUGUAACGGAACCUUACACCGUUGAAGUUGCGGACGUUGUUGCGGACCCACGUGUCAGCUUCCGCUUGGCUGGAGGCGAUACGCUGGAGAUCAGGGUUGGGAACAUCGAGCAGAAGGUCGAUGUUAGAGCCUCGCAGAGCGGAGAGAACCUCUUGGUUGGGAUCGUAAAGCCGCAUGCGACGGAUGUUACGGUUGCGGUAAAGAGCCACCGCAUCAGCCGGACGUGGCAGGUUGUUUCCUAUUCUCCCGUAGCACACUCCGAUUUGCGCAGCUACAUAUAUGUAUAUCAAAUUAAUAAUCAUUAUUAAUAGAAAUAAGAUUUACAAUGAUAUUAUCGAUAUCGAUAGGUUAAAGAAGGUAGCUAAACCUGCCGUGUGGAAGAAGGAAGCCAUUAAGAAGCUAAGAAGAAGCAAUAACAAUGGUAGUGAGGCUAAGAACCUCGAUUGAUCACUAGACAUCUUCAUGAAAUAACAAUUGAAGAUGAUCUUAUAAUUUCGAGUUUUGUAUGCUUAGAUGCUUAAAACCGUAGCAUUUUGCGCCUAAUUUAUAGAGGGAAUCGGUGAUCUUAGUCAAUGAAAUGAAACAAAAAGUCAUCGCGUCAUAUCAUCACUAGCUGUGGAAUGUUGUAAAUUAAAUCACCGUUCAUGCAUAUCUCACUAAAUUCAUGCUUUGAAAAGUCUUGUAAGUGUGAGUUUUCUCCACAUGUAAGAGCAGCCCAUCGAUGCGAUCCUAUAAUUAAUGAUUUUUAUAUAUAUAAAGAAAAUUCAAUCAUAUAUGUGAUGGCAUAUGGAGGGAGAUGUUUUCAUAGGUUUCAUGUAAGCUUUAGAGAUAUGAGAACAUAUUUUCAUCGUUCUCCAAUGUUUUAAAAAAACAAUCUAGAUACCCACUAAAUUAAUCUCCUAAUAACAGCUUGGACCUUAAAGAAAAUAGUUUUUGGAUCCUUUACGUUUUUUUUUUGCUUUAGGCUGCAUAAAAAAAAUUAAACCUUUAUGUGUAAUUUUCUGUUGGUAGAUUUUGUUAUGGAACCAAAAGAAAUAAUAUACAUAUAAAAUAAUUUAUGAUUCUUUCUCAAUCUUGUUUUUGUUUUUCUUUGUAAUCCUCUUAUUUUUGUAUAGUUUCGAAAUGCUUAUAUGUUUUUUUUUUUGUUAAAAUGAUAUAGGUGGCUUUAUUUAAUUAUUAGGAUAUGUGAUUGAGCGGGGUGUCGCACUCCAUAAACCUAGCCGGCCCUUGAUGUAGCUCUCAAUAAGGCCUAACCAGCUAGACACUAAAAUCUUACUGUUAAAUGGAACGAAUCGUCCACCGCCUCAAAUUCAAAAAUACCGAGUCUCAAAGACUCAAAGUUUGUGUGGAAACUGCAACUUAUGUUUUUGAAAAUAGGCCAGAUUAAAAUAGUUCAUCCAGAUAACAUAUUUUUAUUUUUUUUUAAAUUUCUCAAAAAAAUAUAAACAAAAUAAUAUAUUAAAUAUAAAUUUGAUUAACAUAUGUCAGGAUACCUAAACUUAACAUAUAAUUAUUUUAGUUCAAAUAUUUGGAUAGAUAAUCAAUAAUUAUUUUAAGUAUUUUUAGUGUUUUAAGUAUACUUUUACUAUUUUAUAUAUUUACUAUUGGUUAUUUGUAUAUAUUUUCAAGUAUUUAAACCAGCUUAAAAGUAUCAUAUAUAUUCUAUAUGUUUUUAUAUAUAUUAAAUCUAAAAAUAAUUAAUAUAUAUAAGUAUAUAAAUCUAUUUCAGAUACAUUCGGAUAUUCGGAAUACUUCCAUUCGGAUCGGAUUUGGUUUCAGCUCUCCAAAAACUAAAAUUUGAAUAAUUCGGACAUUUAACCAAAAACUUAAAACGAUGAAAAUGCAAAACAGCAUAUAAAGAAGAACUCAAUCACGAUUCACGAUCAACGGUGAAAUUCCUCUAAAACCGAUCUGAUGAUGAUGCAUCAAAAAGCUGUCAGACUUAAAUAAAAAAUAUAUAUAUAUAUAUAUAUAUCUUAUAUGUGUGUGUGUGAAACCUUAUCAUGUACACAUUAUUCAACAACCUAGUUACGAUAAAGAUGAUGAAGAUAAGUUUGAUGAAAUUCCAAUGCCAAAUAUGUCGAUGAUGAUGAGAAUCAUGAAAUGGACAUUUUGCCUCAAAUCGUGAUCAUGUGGGAACAAGAUUAUUGUGAGCGAAUGUGUGUAUUCUGCAGUAAAACCAUGAUCACGGAUUACUUUAAGAAGAUAUCUUUUUACUGAGAAACAUACAUUGAAAAAUAAGAUGACUAAAUUUUAAGAGGCAUUUGAGCUAUAGCAGGAGAACAAUAUAACCAUUAAGCAUGACUUGAAUUGAAUGAAACACAUAAUAAAUUCCUAUAUGUUAAACAAUAGAUGUGCGGCAUUAUACAACUAUAUGGAAAUGAGAAUACAACUAUCUAGAAAAUAUAAGUGGUCUAAAAAUUGUUUUAGGCGUUAGACUCUCUAGAACCAUAGAGUUUUUUUUAUAAAACGCCUAGGUAAUUAUAAUAGGGUAAUAAUAAAUAAUAAAUAACUUAGUGUUUAUAAAUUGUAGUAAUUACUUUAUUUUAAUAUAAAAUUUUAUAAAAACAAGUAAUAUGAACAUUAGUAUUCGUAAAUCAUGAUACUUAAUCUAUUAUUAGUUAGUCAGUCUAUACGUUUACGGUUUACCAAUUAUAUAUAUAGUAUAUUGUUAUAAUUGGUAAACCGUAAUCAUUUAGGCCAACUAACUAAUAAUUUACUCGUCGGAUAGGUGUUAGGCGUUGAAUCACUAUUCGCUUAACGUCUAAUGAUUUCUUGAACACUAGACUAAAUUGUAGAAUAAACAAAUUUUUAUUUGAAUUGAUUAUAAAAUUGAUAUAACAGAAUAAUAUAUAUAUAUAUAUAUUUAUUUAAUCAUCAAAUACUGAAAAAUAUGAGUGAUUAAUAGUGUCUUCAAUCUUUUUUAUCCAACAUAUCUGAACAUGAAUGAAUUCACACAGUCUUUUGCCUUCUUCACAUCUAUCUAUUUUCUUCUCAUUACACACAACCACAAAGAUAUAAAUAGAUGUUAGGAAAAAAUGUAUAUGCUGAAUGAAUAUAAAUAUAAAUUUAUAUAAAAUUUACAAUUAUUGCCAAAACUUACUCGGAUCUUAAGCUGAAAUACAACGAAUAUUAACACAUUCAAUUCGCAUUGUUUCCCACAUUACUUAGAAUGUUUACCAAAACAUCCGAAUGAAUCUGGUUCGAAUGGACCACUGAUACGUAUGUUAACAAAAAUAUUGAAACGAGUUCAUGCAUGUACCCGAGACGCAGAAUAUAAGGAUGGACAGUCUGGCACACAAUGUCCGGAAACAAUUGUCCGGAAACAAUUGUAUACCUCAUAUUUAAUCAUAUGCAAAACUAACUUAAAAAAGUGAAAACUUAUUAUUUACCCUUUAUGACAAAACAAAAAAAAUCAGGAAUUAUUUUACGAUUCUGACUUUCGCAAGAAUAUCUGGUCCAUCUGCAAAUUCUAUUGUAUAAUCCAAAAAGUAUAUACAGUAGAACCUCCAUAAAUUAUUAAAGUUGGUACUUUGAAAUUUUAUUAAUUUAUAGAGAUAUUAAUUUAAAAAAAUUCAUUAUUAGAUUUCUUAUUUUAAGAUAUAUUUAUUUAAGAUAAGAAAAAUAUUUGAUUUUUGUGCAUAGACAUUAAUUGUUAUUUUUUUUUAAAUCUGACAUUUAUAUUAAUUUUAUUAUAUUAUUUGGUGUAUAUAAUAUAUAUUGUAUUGAACUUAAAUGUGGUUUUAGAUAUAAUAUUACUAAAUAUCAUCAAAAAUAUAUGAAGUGUUAAGAAAAAGUAAAUAUAAUUUCAUUGUUAAUAUAAAACAAACAAUAUAGUAAUAGGUUCUUACUUAUAUAAAAUAUGUAUACAUAUGAACUAUCAAUACAUAUAAACUAUUAAUUUAUAUAUUUACAUAGAAUUUUCUAAGAAAAUAUUAUCUUAUUAUUUUAUUGGUUUCUGUCAAAUUAUAAGUUUAUUAAUUUUCUUGUCUCAUUAUUUCUUAUUAUUGUUACAUGUUUCCCACUUUUUGGAAUCUUUAUUAAUACAAGCCCUCGAAUUCCAUUCAGCUCAUAUCACUAUAAUAAAGUGUCUUCAAGGAUAUUAAUUAGUUGAAAUUGACACCAUACUUGGGCUGUUGAUUGGGAAGAAACAUUCCAAAGAACUUUUCAAACUCAGGACUCUUCUGAUUCUCAUCGAACAUACCGAAUAUAUAAGUCUCGAUAGGUCUCCCUUGUCUUCUAGGAGAUCCACUCUUCACAGUUUGUAUCAAAUUGUUCACAUAAGUCCUUGCAUUAUCCACAUUUGUCGCGGUUCCUCCAGCUGUCGGCCAACCACUCUCCGAGACCACAAUCUCCACCGAUCCUCCUCCUGUUUUCUCCAAUGCCGCAUAAACAGUGUCUACGAGUGCGUGGAAGAGGUUUCGGUAUGCGUUUGACCCAUCAUUGACUACAGUGGACGGUGAAGUGAACAGAGCAUAGUCCAAACGGAUGUCUCUCAUGUUGUUGAUGUAGCUGAAGUAAGGGUAGACAUUCACGAGUAGUGGAGAUUGCUUGCUCACCAAGAAAGCUAUCACGGGAGCGAUAAAGUUUCUAAAUUCAGGUGUGAAUGUCCCACUCGAAGGAGGAAACCCACUAAUGCCUCUGGUGUCUAUAGCCGUGGAGACCUUGAUCCCGAGGCCUGAAACCGCUCUAUCGAUGUUCUGCAUGGCGGGGAGGACGAACCUCGAGGUUGGGUCCGAGGGUUGCAC